Molecule: ribosomal RNA, 497 nt
Filed under: uncultured bacterium
Lineage: Bacteria
Description: partial 16S ribosomal RNA
Rfam family: Bacterial small subunit ribosomal RNA
Source: RNAcentral
GAUGAACGCUGGCGGCGUGCCUAAUACAUGCAAGUCGAGCGAACAGACGAGGAUCUUGCUCCUCUGACGUUAGCGGCGGACGGGUGAGUAACAGGUGGAUAACCUACCUAUAAGACUGGGAUAACUUCGGGAAACCGGAUCUAAUACAGGAUCAUAUGGUGAACCGCAUGGAUCAUUAGUGAACAAGGGUUUUGCUGUCACUAAUAGGGGGAACCGCGCCGCAUUAGCUAGUUGGUAGGGUAACGGCUUACCAAGGCGACGAUGCGUAGCUGACCUGAGAGGAUGAUCAGUCACACUGGAACUGAGACACGGUCCAGACUCCUACGGGAGGCAGCAGUGGGGAAUAUUGGACAAUGGGCGAAAGCCUGAUCCAGCCACGCCGCGUGUGUGAAGAAGGUCUUCGGAUUGUAAAGCACUUUAAGUUGGGAGGAAGGGAAGUAAGAUAAUACCUGGCUGUCUUGACGGUACCAAAAGAAUAAGCACCGGCUAACUUCGUG